GACGAACGCUGGCGGCGUGCUUAACACAUGCAAGUCGAGCGGUAAGGCCCUUUCGGGGGUACACGAGCGGCGAACGGGUGAGUAACACGUGGGUGACCUGCCCUCAGCUCUGGGAUAAGCCUGGGAAACCGGGUCUAAUACUGGAUAUGACUCCAUGACGCAUGUUGUGGGGUGGAAAGCCUUGUGCGGCUGAGGAUGGGGCCCGCGGCCUAUCAGCUUGUUGGUGGGGUGANGGCCUACCAAGGCGACGACGGGUAGCCGGCCUGAGAGGGCGACCGGCCACACUGGGACUGAGACACGGCCCAGACUCCUACGGGAGGCAGCAGUGGGGAAUCUUGCGCAAUGGGCGAAAGCCUGACGCAGCGACGCCGCGUGAGGGAUGACGGCCUCGGUU
Molecule: ribosomal RNA, 394 nt
Filed under: uncultured bacterium
Lineage: Bacteria
Description: bacterial SSU rRNA
Rfam family: Bacterial small subunit ribosomal RNA
Source: RNAcentral